ACGGGAGGCAGCAGUGGGGAAUAUUAGGCAAUGGGGGCAACCCUGACCUAGCAACGCCGCGUGAAGGAAGAAGGCCUUCGGGUUGUAAACUUCUUUUAUGAGGGACGAAGGAAGUGACGGUACCUCAUGAAUAAGCCACGGCUAACUACGUGCCAGUAGCCGCGGUAAUACGUAGGUGGCGAGCGUUGUCCGGAUUUACUGGGUGUAAAGGGCGCGUAGGCGGGAUGACAAGUCAGAUGUGAAAUCCAUGGGCUCAACCCAUGAACUGCAUUUGAAGCUGCCAUUCUUGAGUGUCGGAGAGGCAAGCGGAAUUCCUAGUGUAGCGGUGAAAUGCGUAGAUAUUAGGAGGAACACCAGUGGCGAAGGCGGCUUGCUGGACGAAAACUGACGCUGAGGCGCGAAAGCGUGGGGAGCAAACAGGAUUAGAUACCCUGGUA
This 437-nucleotide ribosomal RNA is filed under the name uncultured Oscillospiraceae bacterium. Its description in RNAcentral is "bacterial SSU rRNA". It matches the Rfam family "Bacterial small subunit ribosomal RNA", at positions 341 to 792 of the family's 1533-position model. The record is from RNAcentral. Lineage: Bacteria; Bacillati; Bacillota; Clostridia; Eubacteriales; Oscillospiraceae.